This 90-nucleotide non-coding RNA is filed under the name Polytomella parva. The record is from RNAcentral. Lineage: Eukaryota; Viridiplantae; Chlorophyta; Chlorophyceae; Chlamydomonadales; Chlamydomonadaceae.
AAGGAAGGACAGGGUAAAAAAGGGGAGCUUUUCCUUUUUAUUUUCCUUUUGUUUUUUUCUUCGUCUUCAUUUUUCUUCUUCUUCUUCCUC